Cervus elaphus (red deer) is the source of this 869-nucleotide long non-coding RNA. RefSeq lists it as uncharacterized. NCBI's taxonomy places the organism in Eukaryota, Metazoa, Chordata, Mammalia, Artiodactyla, Cervidae. The record is from RefSeq and is a predicted model, not a curated record. The transcript has 3 exons.
UAGGCCGUCUUAGGCUCCGCCUGCCUGAGGUUCCACACGCCUAAGGCUCCGCCCACCUCGGUCCGCCAGCGUAAGUCGCAGCGGCCGCGAUGGCGGCGCUGGGAGGUAGGAAAACGGCCUGAAUCGAGCCGCGUCGCCCUCUCACCUCGGGUUGUGGCUUAGGUUCAGCGCGAUCCAGGGUACGAAGCGGUACCUGUAACGGCGCCAUCGCUGCCAGAGGCCCCGCAUCAGGCGGCCCGGCAUGGCUGUACCGUGGCGCCUUGACGAGGACGGCGCGGGAGAGGUGGGUCGCGGUCUCGGGCCCGCCCCGACCGAGGAGGAGCGGAGGCCGCGCCGUCCCGCCCCUUCGUGGUCUCAGCCCUCUUCGCUCCGCUUGGCUGUCCUGGUACCCCUUGGCUCCAGUUGCCGCUUCUCCGUGCCUCCGCUCUGUUGAUGCCAGCUCGCUGAAACAGAGAAAUGUAUUGUCUCAUAGUUCCAGAGGCUUGAAGUCCACAAUCAAGGAUCAAGGUCCUGGCAGGGCUGGUUCCUUCUGAUGGCUGUGAGAACCUAUUCCACCCUCUAUACUAGCUUGAAACACUGUUGCAGCCCGAUUUCCCUGCUGUGAGAAAGAGAUGCCAACAGCCCCCAGCUGUUCCAGCUGAAGCACCAGACAGGGGAGUGAAGUAGCCGUGGACAUUCCAGCAUCUGCAGAUGCCACGGGAAGCAGACAUGAGCCACUCCUGCUGAGCCCUGCCCUGAGAGCUCCCCCAAGAGCCGACGAAAACACUAACUCAACACAGAAGACACUCCAACCGAGAGGCUCAAACCGCAGUCGAUCUGACUCCGAAGCCUGUGCUGAUCUGGCAGGUCACUGUCAAGUCUGAUUCUGU